RNAcentral lists this ribosomal RNA (438 nucleotides) under uncultured Rhodocyclaceae bacterium. RNAcentral describes it as "bacterial SSU rRNA". It matches the Rfam family "Bacterial small subunit ribosomal RNA", at positions 945 to 1382 of the family's 1533-position model. Lineage: Bacteria; Pseudomonadati; Pseudomonadota; Betaproteobacteria; Rhodocyclales; Rhodocyclaceae. The record is from RNAcentral.
AUUAAUUCGAUGCAACGCGAAAACCUUACCUACCCUUGACAUGUCCGGAAUCCCGAAGAGAUUUGGGAGUGCUCGCAAGAGAGCCCGGAACACAGGUGCUGCAUGGCUGUCGUCAGCUCGUGUCGUGAGAUGUUGGGUUAAGUCCCGCAACGAGCGCAACCCUUGUCAUUAGUUGCCAUCAUUUGGUUGGGCACUCUAAUGAGACUGCCGGUGACAAACCGGAGGAAGGUGGGGAUGACGUCAAGUCCUCAUGGCCCUUAUGGGUAGGGCUUCACACGUCAUACAAUGGUCGGUACAGAGGGUUGCCAACCCGCGAGGGGGAGCUAAUCCCACAAAGCCGAUCGUAGUCCGGAUCGCAGUCUGCAACUCGACUGCGUGAAGUCGGAAUCGCUAGUAAUCGUGGAUCAGCAUGUCACGGUGAAUACGUUCCCGGGUCUU